GCUGUUUCCUGGGAUCGGUGUCUUGGCUCCAGCCAAGGCCCUGUUCCAGGUGGUGCCCUGAAGUCAAGCUGACUUGCUUCCCAUCUUAGGGACUGUCAUCCCCAGCUGACCUCUGAGCCAUCAGGCAUAACAUUUCAUGGGAGAGUCCCAUAUUCUUCUCUGCCUUACUGUGUCUCUCCUCUUCUUUUUUUCAUUCUUUCGUCUUUAAAACUUAAUUUUUAUUGAAUUAAAGUAAUAUAUGUUUUCACCCCGGUCCCAUACUCCAGGUCAUUCUCCACACAGCAGCUGGUGGUCCUUUUAAAAUAUGUCAGAUCGUGUCAUAAUGGCUUUUCAUAUCCCUCAGUAAAAGCCAAGCUCUUAAUGGCCUUACAAGACCCUAAAUGAUCUGGGGGUAGAAGGGAUUGAGAAGAAAGUUGAAAAAUAAUCUGAGACGUACCAAGGAAGACGCAAUGUCCGUGCGGCCCAAACAAGAGGACCAGUCAUCACAGUGCUCUUACUGAGAGUGGAAUCAAUGCCAAAUUAGGUGAGCAAACAAAGAGAGUUAUGGAAAAAAAAGUAAGAUUUUCAUAGCUUCAGGCAUCAAGGAUAAUUCAUUUAUAUGUUUGGAAAAUUCUCUAAGAUGUGAGUUAUGCUUUCCAUAAAACAAAUACAAAGUACCUGGAGAGUUUAGGUAGGCAGAAUGUGAUAUGGUCUUGGCAAUGGGUAAACCCCUGGAUCAGCAAGUAUGGAAGCGCCAGAACCAUCCAGAACCUCCACUGGCGUAUUACAUUGCAAUGUUUCCACCCACUUCUUGGCUUGGGGGAGUGAGUGAAAAAAUCACGCAGUGAUCAUGAUAAUAUUUCAGCAUAAAGAAACCAGGAGAUCUAAAGUUGCUCAUUAUGAUUUUAACCUCCCUCACAUAAGUUUCUCAGCUUUUCCACCCUUACCCUUGAUUGCUUUUUACUUUUCACCUUCUUUUGUGAUGUCCCUUAGGCACAUGGGAAGAUGUGGAAUUUUCCAAGUUGACACUCGGAGAGAUGGAAUGUCCAUGUUGAUUGAACAACUAAUAUGACUCCACCCUGGAUGCCCUAAGAUAUUGCUUGAAAUCACCCAGAUAUACUUUUAAAUCAUCUAGAGCACUGAUGGCCAGUAGGGCUUUCUGUGUUGAUGGAGAUGUUCUGUCUCUGUGCUGUGUGUCAUGGCAGCCACUCGCCCUGUGUAGUAGUUGAGCGCUUGAAAUGUGGCUAGUGCGGCUGACAAAGUGCAUUUGAAAUUGUACUUAAUUUUAAUUCCUUUAAAGUUAAAUAGCCACCUGGGGUUGGUGGCUGCCAUAUUGGACAGCACAGCUCUAGAGCGAUGAUUUAUUCUUUGUUGAGAUUUGCUGUCACAGAGGUGUGCUCUAUGGUGCAGAAGGUAUUGAGUCUCACGACAGGAGAGGAGUGAAAUGGGAAUGUAGGUGGACAGGGCUGGCGUCCCACAGGCCGGAAGUCAGUCCAGCGUGGGGAGAAGGUUCGGGGCGGUGGAAGAAGCACAGUCAGCCUUUUGAAGUCGUGUGUCUGUAGGCAAGUUAGCGUAUCCGAGCCUCCUUUCCUUUGUCUGGGACGGAGGAAAACCAUGAUCCGGUGGUUGUAGUAAUGAGCCGUGCUGGGAAACGCAGAGCAUCUGCCGGGUACCUGGUAGGUGCUGACCCAACGGUAGUUAUUUUCUCCCUUCAUCUCUACCAAGGGACAGCAGUCCUGCUGGACUGGCCAGGAUGUGCCUCAGAAACUACUGAUGCAGAGGCAGGGGUGACUCCCUCCCUCAUAAGAUGAGGGCUGGAAUGAGAGGCGGGGGUCAAGGGGAGAGAAGAGACAGCAGUCUGUACAAAAGUUGUGAGAAAAAUACGGGAAAGACAGUCUCCUGUGUGUCAGGAGGAUACAGGCGGCCCUUGGGACUGGUUCAGCGAACUCAGAGUAAAAGCACUAAACGGCUGCUGCUUUAAAUACACUCGGUAGAUCAGUAUUCUUUAGUGUCAGACCACUGUGGACUUUCUUAUAGUUUAGAGCUUAUUACAAUUCUUUGGCAUUUAGAUGGAAAGGACCCUCUGUUUUCAACAGUAGUUUUGCUUCUUGGCCUUGAAUUGAAGAACCAGUAGUAAGACGCCAUCAGAUUUUUCGAGCUUCUUCAUCGUCAGGCAGCAAGCCUUGCUGUCGCGCCUCCGGUUGCCUCCCUGGAGAUAACGGGCCAUUUCACCCAGGCCGAGUCCUGCACCGUUUACCUCUGGGCUUAUCUGACCUCUCAGAAGGUACUGAGUUACCUGCCUGUUUCUCGCCCCUGCCUGGAGCCAGCUCCAGAAUGAAAUGGCCGCAUGAGCCGGGAUGAGGUGGCGGCCACGCAGCCUUCCAAACCUUCAUUCCAGUUUCUCAGGUUUUUCCUCUUACUUUUAAGCCGGGGUUUCUCAGCCUCGGCAUUACUGACGUUGGGCCGGAUGCCGGGAGGUUUCUGUACACAGUGGGAUAUUUAACAGCAUCCCAGGGGGGCAAAAUGGCCCCAUGGAGAACGCUUGUUGUGCGUUCCCCACCUCCCCUGGGUUUGUACCUUAGCUCUGAACUGCACGCCUCAUCCCCAGAACGCUGGAUCCUCUGCUCUCAACUCUUGUCAGUGGCUCUGCUCCCAGGAGGGCAGAAAGCACCAGCCGACCAAACUACAUUCUCCUUGGAGCUUCCCCACUUCACCCCCCGGAAAUCAGUAGGAAGGGCCUGCGUACCCUGCAAGGCCGUGGCGGAGCUGUUUUAGGAGAAGCUGUGCUGCUGUGUGUCAGAGGGCGCUCGAGUUGACGGUGGCGUGGGGAGAGGCUAAAAAGGGGGGGAUGGAGUGGACCCUGAUGGCAGGCCUACGGAAGGUGGGUUGACACGAAGGUGGGGGCUGCUGAGAGGGGGUCCUUUGCGUGACAUCCUGUGGGCCCUCGUGGCUCCCUUCUGCCCGUCGGAGACACCCGUUUCCCCCCGAUCAGGGGUGUGCUCGAGGCCAGCCAGGCCAGCGUCAGGCCCGAUUCCGCCGGGACCCCAGAGCAAUGAUGCGGGCCACCAGGCUGUGUCAGUUCUGUGUUGUCUUUCUCUCCGGGAAGGGCCGCAGGCCGACGGCUCAGGCGUGCCCCAGGGAUAACAGGGCCAUGGUGGCAUCGUUCACGUGGCCCCCCCGUGAGCACUGCCGAGAGCCAGCUGUGCCAAGAGGUCGGGGGGCCACAGGCUUGACCUUCCGAGCCAGCUAGGGUCCAGUCCCCACAGCCCACGGGCUCUGCCUAGUGCCUGCCAGCUUCACGCUGGGGACUCAGCCAGAGACCACCGAGGAGGGAGGGACGCUGCCGGGCGCUGCCUGGACUCAGCUAAGCACAUCCGCCUGUGACCCCGCCAUCCUGGAACCCUGAGGGUGGCAUUUCCAUAGGGACGCCCACUGCCUGGGAGAAGGGGAGCAGUCUGGGAGAAACGUCAGGCCAGUAAGUGGCCAGGCCUGGGGUGACGCUUCUGGUGGGCUUGACGUGCCCCAAAGGGCAGGGACAGGGCAGCCCCCCACAGCCAAGGGAGGGGGUCCAAGCUGCCACCUUGUUCCCUAAGAGCCAGGAGGUCUCUGAGGCCGGGCAUGAGCCUAGCACACCCACCCGCAUCACCUGCUCAUGCAGAAUCCCAGGUGUGCUGCAGGUAGAGGAACAGGGAGGACCCCACUUCAGCCUCACCGCUGGGGGUGUGCUGGCAGCCCGUUGAAACGCCAGACCCCCUGGAGAGGCGCCCCAGAUCACAAGGGGGCUGGUGUCGAGCAGCACGAAGACCGGUGACCAAGCACAACUCCGUAGGGUUACAAUUGUCCCCGCGUCUCCUAAGAGGCGUGUUGCUUUUGUCAUUCGUAGCUGAACUUGUUAAAAUAGAUGACCAGCCCUGGGCCCCGUGAGGACCCCACUGCGUGCCAGGGCCUCUGCUGCUCGCGCACAGCAGGACACCUGCCUUUCCUUGCGGCUGGCUCUUUAGAGAGUUCUGUGCAGCCUCCAUCUCCCCGUUCUUCCUCUUCCCAGGGAAAGAACCGGAAAAAUCAGCCUUCCCCGUGGCUCACCACCUCCCCCUCCCCCCCCCACGCCCUCGCCCAUCCCGGGGCUCUGUUCCCUCUGGAUUCCCUUGGCCCGAGGGCCUGUGAGUCACCGCUGAGGCUGCAGAGAUGAGACAGGAAGAGACUGUUGACCAGGCUGAUGUUCUGUGUUCCAUCCUAUUCCCCUCGGACGUUUCGACCUCCCGUUUCUGUUUGUUUAUUUAUUUUUAUUUUAUUUAUUUUAUUUUUGACUGUGUUGGGUCUUCGUUGCUGCACGCGGGCUUUUCUCUGGUUGCGGCGAGCGGGCGCUACUGUUGGUUGUGGUCCGCGGGCUUCAGUAGUUGUGGCGCGCUGGCUCAGUAGUUGUGGCUCGCGGGCUCUAGAGCGCAGGCUCAGUAGGUGUGGCGCACAGGCUUAGCUGCUCCGCGGCAUGUGGGAUCUUCCCGGACCAGGGCUCGAACCUCUGUCCCCUGCAGUGGCAGGCGGAUUCUUAACCACUGCGCCACCAGGCAAGCCUCCUGCUGCUGUUUUUAUGUACAGUUUACGAAGGAAAACGCACACAUGCAGCAUCCCUCGCGUUCUCUGAAAAGUCAGCUUUAGGAUUCCUUUGAGUUUAAUACACCUUUUUUACUUAGACUUUUGUUUUGUGAAUAGUGUCACAAUUUUAAUCGAAUUUUUCUUUCCUAAACAUCUUUUCCAACUUUCCCAAAACAGCAUGAGGCAGAUAAUAAGUUAUCCUGAAUCAGGAUAGAGUGGGGAGUUGCCUUGCCGUUUAGCGUUGUGCUCUACGCUAGCCUGCUUUUUAAAUACGAUUUAAUAUAGAAGAAUGUAACAGGUAAAAAGCACAGCAUAUAAUAUACAUCAUAUAUUGUACAGUUGUAGUUAAUUCUCUUUAUACUGUUCUGUGUUCAGCUUUUUAAAUUUUGCAUUCUGUCGGGUGAAGCUACACCCGACCCGUUGGAGGAUUUCAGGGCAUCGUUGAGAUGGUCAUCGUGCUCCCUGGCUCGGGCCCUGGCCGCGUUCCGUGGUGGAUGAUUCAUUUCUUCCAGAGACGUGUAAGCAGGCCCAGCCCUGCCGCCAGCUGGAUCUGGGACGUGGGGUCCUUCGCUGUCUUGAAGCUUCAGUUCCUCAGCUGUAGGAUAAGGACAGUGGCGGUUGAGAGAACUCACGAGAGCGUGACCACGAGCCGCCGAGGUCUGGGCCUCCCUCCCCACAGAGGUCACUUCCUCCGGGAAGGCCCAGGCCUGCCCGUCUCCCACCCCAGGCCUGAGACGUGCAUCCUUCCCAGUGUCCCCAGCUCCUCCUGUCUCACGAGUCGGCUGGGUUGCUAUGUCCUUUUCUCAGCUCUCUCCUCCCCGGCAGACUGCGGGCUCUCUGGGGGCCGCGCCUGGUCCAGUUGCUAGUGGACCCUGCCCCUGGCACACGGGAGGCCCUCAAGCACAAAGGAGGGCCCUGGACUCUUCAACCUUUACUUGGACGUUGCAGUAAGUGGCGUCUCUUUGGCUCUGUGCCCGCUCUUGCAUUUUGCCGAGUUACCUGUACAGGAAACCAGCAAGGACCACUGGCCCUCAUGGGGUGGAAUCAGGUCAGCCCGUCACCCAGAUGGGUUCUGGUCCCUCGAGGACGUUCUCAGAGCUUCUCUGAAACAGUAGCUGUUAAGCUAUUCAAACCUCCUCUGGGUGAGCGAAGCACGCCGGGCUGGAAUUGAGGGUGGCUGAUGGUACCUUGGGUCGGCGGUUCUCAAGAUGUGGCCGCCAGACGCAGUGUCAGCACCCCUCGGACCCGUUAGCAGUGCUGCUUCUUGGGCCUCCCACACCCGACUGAGGCCGAGCCUUGGGGUGGGGCCCCGCUGUCUGUCCUGAGAGCCGUCUGGGUGGUUCUGAUACGCCCCAAAGUUUGAGAAGCUCUGCCUUCGAUAAAGCGAUGCAAUUAGUGUGUCUCAUUAGAGAGGUGAAGAAUGACCUUUACAGUAAUAUUCCCGAUUAGAAUAGUAGGGCCUUUUCCUGCUCAAAUGCCUGAGGAGACAAUGGCUUGUUUCCGUAACAAAUGUGAAUAUUAUCAUACCCUUCAGGCUGAGUGAACCUGCUUGUUGAGGAGCCGCCCCCGUCACGGGCGCCCCUCCUCAUAGGAGCCUGGCCGGGGCCGCCACAGCCCCGAGGGUCAGCCUCCUGGCACACAGCAGAUGCUCAGUUACUGGGGUUAAUGGUGAAUGAGUGAGUGAACAAAUGAAUGGAUGGAUGAAUGAACGAAUGAUUGAGUGGAUGGACGGAUGGACGGAUGGGUGGAAUUAGCCCUACUUCACAGUAACAUUUGAAAAUACAGAUUCUUUUGAACCUAGAACAAGAUUAUUAAACAUCUUUGAUGGUUGCUGGGGUGUCAGUGCAGAUUUUCCAGAAAGCUGUUGCCAGCAGGAUCUAAUCUGGCAAAGGUGUCGACUCCUGAGGUGUCCAUUCUGAUCCGCCCCCCUCCACCUUGGCCGGUUUGGUCAGUGACCUUAUCCACCGUUGAUGUAACAGGAGUUGGAAGGAGAAAUAAAGCAGAACUUUCAGUCCUUUCCUGAUCACGCUUACAGUCGUUCCCUCUUCCAACUCCUCCUUUGUCGACUUUUCCCCCCUCAUGUUUCUCCAUUGACUCGUUUUGUGAUGCCGGCACUUGGAAAUAAUCUUUGGAUGAUCCUAGCGGUGGCCUUUGGACGGCACGUUGCCAGUGCCCCGGGCUUGCACUCCCUAAAACGACUUUCACCGUGUCCAGGGAAGUUCUGCUAAGGUUGAUGGCACACUACCAGGGGCUGAAGUAACUUGGAGCAGCUUUGUGGAACAUUCUCCUGUGCAGUUUCUCUGUUGGGGAGCAGGGUUUGGACUAGAGGAAUUUAGGUGUAUUCAUGUACCCUGCCAGGUGCAAUAAAUAGCUGUCUUUGCCUGACCUUAACCUCACCUAAGUGCUGUGGUUCUAAAAAGCCUAGCACACACCAGGAGGAGCUGAAAACAUUAGGAGGAGAGUGAUGCUGGUGUAACAUGUCGGAGGCGGGUUGGGCCUGCAGAUGGAAAUUAAAACGAUUAAAUGUUGGAGAUGUGCCUUGUAAACCAGAAAGCUUAGCUAGACUGAGCAUUGAAAGAAGGCAUAACCUGUUCUAAGCAAUUUUUUUUUGUUUUUUUUGUUUUGUCUUGUUCUGUUUUUUUGCGGUACGUGGGCCUCUCGCUGUUGUGGCCCCUCCCGUUGCGGAGCACAGGCUCCGGACGCGCAGGCUCAGCGGCCACGGCUCACGGGCCCAGCCGCUCCGCGGCACGUGGGAUCCUCCCGGACCGGGGCACGAACCCGUGUCCCCUGCAUCGGCAGGCGGACUCCCAACCACUGCGCCACCAGGGAGGCCCCUAAGCAAUUUUUUGUUUACUAAACUACAGACUUUGUACAGAUUUCCCAGUUUUUGACUAAAGUCUUCUUUCUGUUCCAGGAUCCAUUCCAGGAUCCCACAUUGCGUUUUGUCAUUGUGUUGCCUUUGUCUCUUCCAAUCUGUGAUGGUUUCCAGGCACUUUGGAAGAGUGUCAGCUGUGCAUUCAGUAGAAUGUUCCUCAGUUUGGAUUUGCCUGACUAGACUGAGGUUGUGGAUUUGGGGAAGAGUUCGGAGGUGCCCUUUUGCUCAUAUCACAUCAGGGGCACAUGACAUCAGCAUGACAUCCCUGACGACGUCAGCCCUGACCGCUGACCUAAGGUGGGGUCUGCCAGGUUCCUCCACUGCAGAGUUACUGUUUUCUCUUUCCCUGCUCUGUCCUCAGGAAGCAAGUCCCUAAAUCCAGUCCAUCUCAGGGGAGGGGACUUCUGUUCCUCGUCCUGGAGGGAGGGGUAUCAAAGAAUGUGUGGUCCUAGGUUGAAACCAUCACAGUCAUUAGCAAAUUCGGAGAGCGAUACUUUGAUGCUAUGCAGAUAUCCUGGGUCACCCUAAAGCUCAUCGGUGGGUGCGUCAUUCUU
Physeter macrocephalus (sperm whale) is the source of this 8001-nucleotide long non-coding RNA. RefSeq lists it as uncharacterized. Lineage: Eukaryota; Metazoa; Chordata; Mammalia; Artiodactyla; Physeteridae. The record is from RefSeq and is a predicted model, not a curated record. The transcript has 2 exons.